AGAUUAAGUUAUUAAGGGCGCACGGUGGAUGCCUUGGCACUAGAAGCCGAUGAAGGACGUUACUAACGACGAUAUGCUUUGGGUAGCUGUAAGUAAGCGUUGAUCCAGAGAUUUCCGAAUGGGGGAACCCAGCAUGAGUUAUGUCAUGUUAUCGACAUGUGAAUUCAUAGCAUGUCAGAAGGCAGACCCGGAGAACUGAAACAUCUUAGUACCCGGAGGAAGAGAAAGAAAAAUCGAUUCCCUGAGUAGCGGCGAGCGAAACGGGAAGAGCCCAAACCAACAAGCUUGCUUGUUGGGGUUGUAGGACACUCUAUACGGAGUUACAAAAGAACAUGUUAGACGAAUCAUCUGGAAAGAUGAAUCAAAGAAGGUAAUAAUCCUGUAGUCGAAAACAUAUUCUCUCUUGAGUGGAUCCUGAGUACGACGGAGCACGUGAAAUUCCGUCGGAAUCUGGGAGAACCAUCUCCUAAGGCUAAAUACUCUCUAGUGACCGAUAGUGAACCAGUACCGUGAGGGAAAGGUGAAAAGUACCCCGGAAGGGGAGUGAAAGAGAACUUGAAACCGUGUGCUUACAAGUAGUCAGAGCCCGUUAAUGGGUGAUGGCGUGCCUUUUGUAGAAUGAACCGGCGAGUUACGAUCUGAUGCAAGGUUAAGCAGCAAAUGUGGAGCCGCAGCGAAAGCGAGUCUGAAUAGGGCGUUGAGUAUUUGGUCGUAGACCCGAAACCAGGUGAUCUACCCUUGGUCAGGUUGAAGUUCAGGUAACACUGAAUGGAGGACCGAACCGACUUACGUUGAAAAGUGAGCGGAUGAACUGAGGGUAGCGGAGAAAUUCCAAUCGAACUUGGAGAUAGCUGGUUCUCUCCGAAAUAGCUUUAGGGCUAGCCUCAAGUGAUGAUUAUUGGAGGUAGAGCACUGUUUGGACGAGGGGCCCCUCUCGGGUUACCGAAUUCAGACAAACUCCGAAUGCCAAUUAAUUUAACUUGGGAGUCAGAACAUGGGUGAUAAGGUCCGUGUUCGAAAGGGAAACAGCCCAGACCACCAGCUAAGGUCCCAAAAUAUAUGUUAAGUGGAAAAGGAUGUGGCGUUGCCCAGACAACUAGGAUGUUGGCUUAGAAGCAGCCAUCAUUUAAAGAGUGCGUAAUAGCUCACUAGUCGAGUGACACUGCGCCGAAAAUGUACCGGGGCUAAACAUAUUACCGAAGCUGUGGAUUGUCCUUUGGACAAUGGUAGGAGAGCGUUCUAAGGGCGUCGAAGCAUGAUCGCAAGGACAUGUGGAGCGCUUAGAAGUGAGAAUGCCGGUGUGAGUAGCGAAAGACGGGUGAGAAUCCCGUCCACCGAUUGACUAAGGUUUCCAGAGGAAGGCUCGUCCGCUCUGGGUUAGUCGGGUCCUAAGCUGAGGCCGACAGGCGUAGGCGAUGGAUAACAGGUUGAUAUUCCUGUACCACCUAGUAUCGUUUUAAUCGAUGGGGGGACGCAGUAGGAUAGGCGAAGCGUGCUGUUGGAGUGCACGUCCAAGCAGUAAGGCUGAGUGUUAGGCAAAUCCGGCACUCAUAAGGCUGAGCUGUGAUGGGGAGAGGAAAUUGUUUCCUCGAGUCGUUGAUUUCACACUGCCGAGAAAAGCCUCUAGAUAGAUAACAGGUGCCCGUACCGCAAACCGACACAGGUAGUCAAGAUGAGAAUUCUAAGGUGAGCGAGCGAACUCUCGUUAAGGAACUCGGCAAAAUGACCCCGUAACUUCGGGAGAAGGGGUGCUCUUUAGGGUUCACGCCCAGAAGAGCCGCAGUGAAUAGGCCCAAGCGACUGUUUAUCAAAAACACAGGUCUCUGCUAAACCGUAAGGUGAUGUAUAGGGGCUGACGCCUGCCCGGUGCUGGAAGGUUAAGAGGAGUGGUUAGCUUCUGCGAAGCUACGAAUCGAAGCCCCAGUAAACGGCGGCCGUAACUAUAACGGUCCUAAGGUAGCGAAAUUCCUUGUCGGGUAAGUUCCGACCCGCACGAAAGGCGUAACGAUUUGGGCACUGUCUCAACGAGAGACUCGGUGAAAUCAUAGUACCUGUGAAGAUGCAGGUUACCCGCGACAGGACGGAAAGACCCCGUGGAGCUUUACUGUAGCCUGAUAUUGAAAUUCGGCACAGCUUGUACAGGAUAGGUAGGAGCCUUUGAAACGUGAGCGCUAGCUUACGUGGAGGCGUUGGUGGGAUACUACCCUAGCUGUGUUGGCUUUCUAACCCGCACCACUUAUCGUGGUGGGAGACAGUGUCAGGCGGGCAGUUUGACUGGGGCGGUCGCCUCCUAAAAGGUAACGGAGGCGCUCAAAGGUUCCCUCAGAAUGGUUGGAAAUCAUUCAUAGAGUGUAAAGGCAUAAGGGAGCUUGACUGCGAGACCUACAAGUCGAGCAGGGUCGAAAGACGGACUUAGUGAUCCGGUGGUUCCGCAUGGAAGGGCCAUCGCUCAACGGAUAAAAGCUACCCCGGGGAUAACAGGCUUAUCUCCCCCAAGAGUUCACAUCGACGGGGAGGUUUGGCACCUCGAUGUCGGCUCAUCGCAUCCUGGGGCUGUAGUCGGUCCCAAGGGUUGGGCUGUUCGCCCAUUAAAGCGGUACGCGAGCUGGGUUCAGAACGUCGUGAGACAGUUCGGUCCCUAUCCGUCGUGGGCGUAGGAAAUUUGAGAGGAGCUGUCCUUAGUACGAGAGGACCGGGAUGGACAUACCUCUGGUGUACCAGUUGUCGUGCCAACGGCAUAGCUGGGUAGCUAUGUAUGGACGGGAUAAGUGCUGAAAGCAUCUAAGCAUGAAGCCCCCCUCAAGAUGAGAUUUCCCAACUUCGGUUAUAAGAUCCCUCGAAGAUGACGAGGUUAAUAGGUUCGAGGUGGAAGCGUGGUGACACGUGGAGCUGACGAAUACUAAUCGAUCGAAGACUUAAUCAAUUU
RNAcentral lists this ribosomal RNA (2926 nucleotides) under Staphylococcus epidermidis CIM28. RNAcentral describes it as "bacterial LSU rRNA". It matches the Rfam family "Bacterial large subunit ribosomal RNA". The record is from RNAcentral. Lineage: Bacteria; Bacillati; Bacillota; Bacilli; Caryophanales; Staphylococcaceae.